GGUAUGAGCUUUCGUGUGCAUGCACACUUCUUCAGAUAUUGGUAUGUGAAGAAGUGUGCAUGCACACGAAAGCUCAUACC
This is a non-coding RNA of Podarcis lilfordi (Lilford's wall lizard), 80 nucleotides long. The record is from the annotation of a GenBank genome assembly. NCBI's taxonomy places the organism in Eukaryota, Metazoa, Chordata, Lepidosauria, Squamata, Lacertidae.